UUGAAGAUGAAGCUCCUUCGGGCAGUAUUCUGUUACAAGCAGCUAAGGCCUAUGUGCCUAUGGAUGACUGUUCUGAAGCUAUUGAAGAACCGAUUGCUGCAAUAGUGAAUCACUGGUUUUCUCAUGGUUUGAAAGAGGAAGACCAUAAGGAGAUUUUGGCAGAUGAGGCUUCUAAACGUCCUAGAAACUGUAAGGCACUUAUCCCAGUCAAGUGCAACUCACAAGUGCUGGAUGCCCUACCCACUGAGGCAAAGAAAGCUGAUUUCCGACUGAAGGAAAUUGGUAAGGAUAUAACUAAGGCUGCCACUAUUAUGGUUAAAUCACUUACUGUUCUGGACAAGUUUGCCAAUGAGGAGCAGAAUCAGGUUAUUGGUCAUGAGGUGGCUAUGCUUAAUGGUGCCUUGGGGUUGUUAGGGCAUGCAAACUUUAAACUGAAUAUGAAUAGACAGUUUUUCCUCAAACGAGAGAUAAACCAAAAGUAUGCGCACUUAUGCACUGAUAAGACUCCUGCGACUGGCUUACUGUUUGGGGAUGAUCUUACUCAAGCUACCAAACAGAUUGAGGAGGCCGAAAGGCUGAAGAACAAGUUUACCCACAAGAAGACUUCCCAUUUUGGAGCUCCAGGUCUUCGGAAGUUAAGUGGUGGUAAGCAACGUGGUUUCUUUGGGAAGCCAGCUUUCCGGGGUAUGUCUACCCGGUUUAAAUCUUACGGCUUACACAAACCUGCCACCAGAGGGGACGGCUGCCCUUCUUAUCACAGAGGGAACUCCUCUUCAAAAAACCCAAGGGGCCGGGGACACUACAAUCCCCGGCAGUAAUUCAGGUAAGGAAUGACUUUGAAGCGGGUCAGCUUCAUAAGUUUAUUGGUGAAUGGUGCAAACUUACUAGUGAUCCUUUCAUUUUGGACAUUGUUAAACUUUGCCAUCUUGAGAUUGAUGAACAGAACAUUACUCAUUUAUUUUCUGAGGAAGUGGAAUACAAAUUUAGUGAUGAGGAGAAAGUUAUUAUGACUAAUGAAAUAGAUAAAUUGUUGAGCCAGAAGGUUAUCAAAGAGACUCACAGACAGGUGGGCCAGAUUAUUUCACCAGUUUUCUUGAGAGAGAAAAAAGAGGGUGGCUACAGGUUGGUGCUUAAUUUGAAGAAACUCAACAAAUUCAUGAAUUACAUCCAUUUCAAAAUGGAAAAUUUUGAGCAGGCAAUUAGGCUAAUCAGUUCAGGCGCUUUCAUGGCUUUGGUGGAUCUGAAGCAUGCUUAUUAUUCAGUCAAAAUUGCAGAGGAGCAGCAAAAAUACCUUUGUUUUAAAUGGGCAGGGAAGAUAUACCAAUUCACUUGCCUUCCUAAUGGUGCUUCUGCAGGUCCUCGUCUUUUCACUAAACUUUUGAAGCCGAUUUUUUCUUUUUUGAGAUUGAAAGGCUACACCAUUACUUCCUUUAUAGAUGAUACUCUUAUAUGUAGCAAGUCAGUUGAGGAUUGUGUUGCUUGUUUAAAGGAUACUGUGGAAAUUUUGCAAAAUGUGGGGUUUUGUAUUAAUGUGGACAAGUCAGUAUUGGUAGCUGCCAUUCCGGCCGUUGAAUUAGGUAAGCUCCAUUACAGAAUUUUAGAAAAGGCCAAAAUUGUUGCAUUAAAGGUAGGAAAGGGCAACUUUGACAAAUUUAUGACUAUCUCAAAGGAAAUGAAAAUGGAGCUGAGUUGGUGGAUCUCUGAAGUAGGUACGCAAGUUCGGAAAAUUAUUCGGACUGCUCCUUCUGUUGAAGUUUUUACUGAUGCCUCAGAUUUAGGUUGGGGUGGUUGUGUAUUAAAGCAUUCCACCAAUGGUAAAUGGACAACAGAAGAAAGUUGCCUACACAUUAAUGCAAGGGAACUCAAGGCCAUCUUGUUUACCCUUCAAUCUUUUGCUUACUUGCUUAAAGGCUGCCAUGUUAAAGUUAUGUGUGAUAAUACCACAGCCAUUGCUUAUGUUAAUGAGAUGGGUGGAACUAAAUCACUAGUGUGUAACUCUAUCUGCAUUGAUAUCUGGAACUGGUGUAUUUCCAAUGACAUCUGGAUUACUUGUGCACACAUACCAGGAAAGAAGAAUGUGUUGGCGGAUGAAGCCUCUCAUAAUUUUAAUGACAAACAUGAAUGGAAACUUAAUCCAAAGAUUUUUAAAGAGUUGUGUAUAGUUUUUGGAACUCCCUCCAUUGACUUAUUUGCUUCUCGCUUAAACAAGCAAAUAGAUUGUUUUUGCUCAUGGAGACCUGAUCCUGAAGCAAAGCAUGUGGAUGUGUUCACAUUAAAUUGGGCCAGUUUCGAUCUGAUUUACCUUUUCCCACCAUUUUCUCUCAUUACUAGGUGUCUACAGAAAAUGAGGGAGGAGAGAGCCAAGGGGUGGAUGGUUGUUCCAAUGUGGAAUUCCCAACCUUGGAUGGGCCCUUUUCUGCAAAUGUUGAUCAAGGCCCCCAGGCUCAUCACUCAGAAAACAAAUGUACUACGACAUCCCUCAUCAGCGGAAGAACACCCGAUUAUGACCCACACCCAAUUGAUGGCAUGUCUUUUGUCAGGCAACAACUUAGAGGGAGAGGUGUAUCGUCAGAAGGUACAGAGAUUAUCAUGGCAUCGUGGAGACCAGGUAUGCUGAAACCUGGGAUGUGCAGCCAGUAUUGCAGAAGCUGAGGUCCAUGAGCCCAUUACAAGACCUAUCUUUGAAAUCUUUAACUUUGAAAUUGGUGAUGCUUAUGGCAUUGACUCAAGCUGCAAGAGUACAGACCUUACAUUUAUUAUUGUAUUCCAAUGCUAUUGUUGAUAACAAUUCUGUAUCUCUUUUGUUAGGGGGCAACAUUAAGCAGUGUCGUCCGAAGUUUAAUGUGAGAAUGCUUAAGUUUUAUGUUUAUUUACCUGAUUCUAGAAUGUGUGUUGUAAAUACCUUGAAGGAAUAUAUUAACAGAGCGGAGAAUCUGAGAAAGGAAUUUGGGAAGGAUAAUGGGAAACUCCUCAUCAGUGUGGUGAAGCCACAUAAAAGUGUUUCCAAAGAUACAGUGGCAAGGUGGAUUAAAACUGUUCUUGUCGACUGUGGUAUUAAUACUAAGAAAUUCACGGCUGGCAGUGUUCGACCAGCCUCUGCUUCCAAGGCCAAAGCCAUGGAUGUCCCAGUUAACAUUAUCUUAUCUAAGGCAGGUUGGACUCAGGAGACAACCUUUGCUAAACACUAUAAUAAGGAGAUCACUCAGGUUUCAGAUUUUUUUCAAGAGGCCAUACUGGAUUCUGUAUUGUAAUGUUAACAGGUUUCUCUAUUCAUUUGCGUUGGAUCUCAAUUGACAUAUUUUGUUUGUUUUAUACAUGUACUAUAUGUUUUUGUAAGGGACAUAUCUGUUUAAGGAGGAGGAUUUUUCAUACAAUGAAGUUGGGAUACAUA
Molecule: long non-coding RNA, 3391 nt
Organism: Scylla paramamosain (green mud crab)
Lineage: Eukaryota; Metazoa; Arthropoda; Malacostraca; Decapoda; Portunidae
Exons: 2
Source: RefSeq, a predicted model, not a curated record